RNAcentral lists this ribosomal RNA (432 nucleotides) under uncultured bacterium. RNAcentral's name for it is "partial 16S ribosomal RNA". It matches the Rfam family "Bacterial small subunit ribosomal RNA", at positions 338 to 795 of the family's 1533-position model. The record is from RNAcentral.
CCUACGGGAGGCAGCAGUGGGGAAUAUUGCACAAUGGGCGAAAGCCUGAUGCAGCGACGCCGCGUGAGGGAUGACGGCCUUCGGGUUGUAAACCUCUUUCAGCAGGGAAGCGGUACCUGCAGAAGAAGCACCGGCUAACUACGUGCCAGCAGCCGCGGUAAUACGUAGGGUGCGAGCGUUGUCCGGAAUUAUUGGGCGUAAAGAGCUUGUAGGCGGUUUGUCGCGUCUGCUGUGAAAAUCCGGGGCUCAACCCCGGACUUGCAGUGGGUACGGGCAGACUAGAGUGUGGUAGGGGAGACUGGAAUUCCUGGUGUAGCGGUGAAAUGCGCAGAUAUCAGGAGGAACACCGAUGGCGAAGGCAGGUCUCUGGGCCACACUGACGCUGAGAAGCGAAAGCAUGGGGAGCGAACAGGAUUAGAUACCCUUGUAGUC